AGAAGGGCCUUUGCUCAGUGGAAGGACAUCUGCUUUGAAUGCAGAAGGUCCAAGGUUCAAUCCCUGGCCUCUCUA
Molecule: non-coding RNA, 75 nt
Organism: Podarcis lilfordi (Lilford's wall lizard)
Lineage: Eukaryota; Metazoa; Chordata; Lepidosauria; Squamata; Lacertidae
Source: the annotation of a GenBank genome assembly